CAGCAGGAAAGCCCGUCAUCCCUGAGCCGCCACCAGCCCUGCUGACCCACUGAGCCCUGCAACCAUCCCGAUCGUUCCAGAUCCAGCCUGUCCCUCACAGGCAGCCCGUCCUCUCCUCAUAAAGACCCUGCAGCCCCCAUCUGCCAGCAAAACCCCGUGUAUGAGAAGUGGUAAGUAUGAUUUUUUUAUCGUGGCUUUACAGUUUUGUUUUGUUUUUUUUUAACCGUUAGCAAGGUUUAUCUUGGGCCACGUGUGGCCACUGCAGCCCCGUUAGGGUGGUGGGUGCCCACGGGGGGCUCAUUCUGCGGGCUGUGAGUGGGCUCUUGGGUAUGAGGUUGCCUUGCUCCUUCGCUGACUGCUGCUUGGUCUUGUUUUCUUUGUAUUCAUUAUCUUCCCUGAUCAAAAACUGCUAACGGUUUUUGGAAGGGUGUGAUCCUCUAAGAUCUGAGGACUGCAAAAUCUGCAACUGACACAAGAAAUGUAGGAUUUAAUCUCAAACCAAUAUUGUCUUCCCUUCCCAGGAGAAGGAGGGGCUCAUUUUACAAUGACAUUAAGAAUUCAUUCCCUUAAAUGAGUCCAAGACUUCCUAGGAUAUCGUCACUCCAAAUGAAGUCAGCUACCAGUGCAUCAGUGUCUUGUCUGCUUUCUCAGAGAAACACUAGACUUGUCUUAAAGCAUUUCUUUGUUUGGAAGACUUGGACACAGACAAAAGAGUACUUGAAGAUCAGAAUAGAGAAUCUGUUUAUUACAAAGCAAAAGCUUACUGGCAACACUUUUGAAACACUGUGCUUGCAAAGGAGAGAGUGCAUACCUGUUUCUUUGAGCAAACACUCAGAAUAUAUCUCCACACUGUUUUGUAGGUUGGGAGGAAGAAAGUAUUUUUGCUUUCCUAAAUAG
RNAcentral lists this long non-coding RNA (897 nucleotides) under Anser cygnoides (Swan goose). RNAcentral describes it as "lncRNA (ENSACDG00005007516.1)". Lineage: Eukaryota; Metazoa; Chordata; Aves; Anseriformes; Anatidae. The record is from RNAcentral.